Long non-coding RNA from Entelurus aequoreus (snake pipefish), 506 nucleotides. RefSeq lists it as uncharacterized. The transcript is spliced from 2 exons. NCBI's taxonomy places the organism in Eukaryota, Metazoa, Chordata, Actinopteri, Syngnathiformes, Syngnathidae. The record is from RefSeq and is a predicted model, not a curated record.
GUAUAAUCCCCGCCCCUUUUCAGACAAGUUUUUUUUUUUUUUUUUUAAAGCCAAGUUGUGGACAAAAUGUCUGCCGACAAGUAGCUUAACCGAGGCGGGAGCUCCACUUCAUAAUUUGAGGGCUUCAGCGGAGAAUAUAAGAACACUUUCAAUGCAACAAGGGUCGCGCUGCCGCCAUGGGUCUCCCCCGCAGGACGCGGCACCUGAGCGGCCACACAGCGGUGCCUUUCUCGUCCCGACAGCCAAGCAGCCUGGAGCACUCGUUCCAUUGCGAGGUUGCACCGCACACAUGCAACGUUUCAGUUCAUGGACAUCGGGGCAAAAGGAGGAAAAUGUCAUUAGACAUUAUUUAUUUCUAAAUGAUUGUUGAAUCACACGAAAUAGUCACCACACAGCUGCAUGACCAUUUCAACAAAGACGGAAUAAACAACCUCUGGAUUCAUGGAACUUCUCUGCACACAAAUAUAUUAAUUGGAAUAUUCAAUAAAUUUCACAUAAACAUUAAA